CCUACGGGUGGCAGCAGUGAGGAAUAUUGGUCAAUGGACGCAAGUCUGAACCAGCCAUGCCGCGUGCAGGAAGACGGUUCUAUGUGUCGUAAACCUCUUUUGUCCGAGGGCAAACACUGAUACGCGUCUCCGUCUGAGAGUACCGUACGAAUAAGCAUCGGCUAACUCCGUGCCAGCAGCCGCGGUAAUACGGAGGAUUCUAGCGUUAUCCGGAUUUAUUGGGUUUAAAGGGUGCGUAGGCGGUCGGAUAAGUUAGAGGUCAAAUCCCGAGGCUCAACCUCGGAAUUGCCUCUGAUACUGGUAGGCUAGAGAGGGAGAGCGGUAGGCGGAAUGUGUGGUGUAGCGGUGAAAUGCUUAGAUAUCGUGCAGAACACCGAUUGCGAAGGCAGCAUGCCGGCCUACUACUGACGUUGAGGCACGAAAGCGUGGGGAGCGAACAGGAUUAGAUACCCGGGUAGUC
This 460-nucleotide ribosomal RNA is filed under the name uncultured bacterium. RNAcentral's name for it is "partial 16S ribosomal RNA". It matches the Rfam family "Bacterial small subunit ribosomal RNA", at positions 338 to 795 of the family's 1533-position model. The record is from RNAcentral.